AUCCAUGUAGAGCAAUUAGUAGCGCGUUGGACUUCUAAUUCGAAAGUCGUGGGUUCGAAUCCCACCUGGGAUG
Molecule: non-coding RNA, 73 nt
Organism: Trichonephila clavipes
Lineage: Eukaryota; Metazoa; Arthropoda; Arachnida; Araneae; Nephilidae
Source: the annotation of a GenBank genome assembly